Molecule: non-coding RNA, 2570 nt
Organism: Xyrichtys novacula (pearly razorfish)
Lineage: Eukaryota; Metazoa; Chordata; Actinopteri; Labriformes; Labridae
Source: the annotation of a GenBank genome assembly
UGGGCCUCCAACAACCAUCCUCAACAAGGACCUUGUACACAUGUUUAAAGGGAUAUUCUGGCGUAAAAAUUAAUUUAGGGUCAAACACAUAGCCAUAGCACUAGCCAUCUUGUUUUUAGCGAGACCUCGACCAGUCCAUCAUCACCACACUUUCUAUCUUCCAGCAGCCGCUUGAGGGGGGUGGGGUGGGGAGGGGGGUGAUAAAGUAAUGAUCAUAAAUGUUCUUCCUUCAGCUGCGCUCCCCACCUCAAGCGGCUGCUGGAAGAGAGUAGGUGAGUUGUGUUUAGACUCUUUGCUUAAGAAAUCAGGCAAAGCUAAAAAGAUGUUUGGUGGCUAGUGCUGUGCCUGGGACCCUAUAUGUACUGUUGAUGAAGUUAGGUGCCGUUCUGAGCAUUGUUUGUGGCUAUAGAGGGACGUUGUGGUUGAGGUUUGUGUGUGGCUCCUUAGACUGCUGUGUAUUGCUAUCCUGUGGUCGUUACUAAAGUUGGUAUAACUGGAGAAGCAAGUGGUCGGCAACAUUCAGCUCUCGAGGGGGUGUCUAACUCAGUGUUUGACUCUAAAUUAAUUUUAUGCUGGAAUAUCCUUUUAACAACACUCAAGCUCCCAAAAUAUGCUGUGCUUUGUUAUUACUCUACAUGGACUAUCCUUCAGGUCAACAAGAUGUAAGCAAAAUGUUUGAAAACAUGGACGGCUAUAUAUACCUGAACACUCUCAGACCAGUCUUUGUUACAUUUGUGGCAGGAUGAAGCUGCAACCCAGAUCUACAACUGGUAAAGCAUGUCAAAAGAUAUUACAGGUGAUUAAUUACACAAGGAUAACUUGUAGUAGGUGACUGAAUUUUGGAUGAAAUAAUAGUGUGUUUUUGGUCACUCAGUAAAACAUGGCUGCUGUCCAUGGUGCUGUUUACUGCUGGCCUGUGCUGUGAAGGUAACACAAGAGCUGUCCGUGGUGCUGAUUCUGACAGCCCUCAUCAUUAUGCCUCAGUGUAACUAUGCUAUUCACAUGAGAAAGGAACCUGCUAAUUAUUCAAGUCAGCCUCAUAUUUUCCUAUCUGCAUGCUGAACAGUGGCUAAGUUUGAUGCAGCUCUCCACAUGAGGCUGCAAAAUCUGUAUUCAUAAUGGCUCCUUCAAUAGAGCAUAUACAAUGUGACGGAUAUUACAGUUUUUAUACUUGUUAGUUGCCAACUGUUUGGUCUGGUAAGUCAGUUAUUUAGCCUGCUCUGCUGAGCAGUAGCACUUUUCUUAUUGUCAGCUGUAUCCACUAUAUGAUGAGUAAUAAUAGCCCAGGGAAAAUCAUAAUGUGCUUCAGUGAGUCUCUGCACCUGGGGCCAAUUCUCUUUUCUCUGACAGCUACAAUAAGCAUAUAGAAUUAGUUUAAGUCAGCUUACAACCAUAUAUAAAUGUUGUGUGAGUGUGCACAUACCUGACCAAAGAAAAGCACCCUGACUGAGGUGAGACAAUCAUCCCAUGUCUUGUUAAAGGGUAAAGGAGUAUUUGUAUGACCUCAAAUGUUAUUAAGUGAUCUGCUGAUCACACUUUAACAGGGUCUUUCAUUGUUUUCAGAUGAUGAAUUCUUUAGCUUUGCUCAUAAUCCAAUAAGGUCAGAAGACAAUAUGCCCCCCCAUCUAUCCAUUUUCUUCCACUUAUCCAGGGUGAGGUUGCAGAGGCAGCUGCCCAAGCAAGAUGACACAGCAACAUUGUCAGCUCCUCCUGUGAGAUACAGAGGUGUUCUCAGGCCCAGUGGGAUUAACAGUCCGUCAAGCAGGGUCUGGGUCUACCCUUGAGCCUUCUGCACACCGAAAACACCUCCAAAUAGGAGCACCCAAAAAGCAAACUUAUCAAAUGCCCAAACCAUUUCAACUGGCUUCUUUCAAUGUGAUGUGAGGGAGCACCUGCUCCAUCUGAUAAUAAAUUAAAUCCCCAUCAUCCUUAGCCUUACAAUUUGUGUUUAUUUCUUUUUUUUUCUACUUUGCUCACACAACUAGGUGGUAAAUAUUGUCAACAUCAUACCUGCUAAAUAUUGACAUGUUAAGUCAAAUAAAUGCUGUGACUAAUAACAGCCCGCAGGAGUUGCCAGUCAGACUGUAGGAUCUAAGUCUCGUAAACAUUGUGAUAAAGAUGUAAAUAUUUAUUAGUGCCUUUCGAAUUGGAAGAAGAAAAUCUGACAGUUUGCAACUGUUUAUCAGAAUUAUCUCGUACUCAGCUCUUCCACUCCUGAGUUUCUGAGGAAACCAACAGGGAAAUUACAUCCAGUUAAAAGCGGAGUUAACUCAGUCUUAUAAACUAUAUAACGUGGUUUAUAUAAUUCAGGCUUUCAUCUGUAUUUAUGAGUUGAUGGUGCAUCAGCUUCAAUGUCCUCAGGUCCUGAUCAUACUCUGCAGUGAAGUGGAGUUGGAUUGUGGGGUAUAAAGUGUGAAAAAUGAAUGUUCAUUUCUGUUAGAUCCAUCUUUAUAACUUUAAGUGCUCUCUCUCUCUCUAAUGGCAGUACGCAGGUGGGAUGCAAACAUCCAAGCAUGAAUCUGUGCCCACAGUCGCACAAACACUGAAGAAUGGUCAUACAAACAAACCCC